AGAUUGAUACUAAGCCAUGUUAGUUAUUGUAGUAAUACAAGGCAGACGGCUCAGUAACACGUAGUCAACCUAACUUAUGGACGGGGAUAACCUCGGGAAACUGAGAAUAAUACCCGAUAGGUCAUGAUGCCUGGAAUGGUUUAUGACUCAAAUAAUUUAUUGCCGUAGGAUGGGACUGCGAGCUAUCAGCUUGUUGGUGAGGUAAUGGCCCACCAAGGCUAUUACAGCUACGGGCUCUGAGAGGAGUAGCCCGGAGAUGGGUACUGAGACAAGGACCCAGGCCCUAUGGGGCGCAGCAGGCGAGAAAACUUUGCAAUGCGCGAAAGCUCGACAAGGUUAAUCUGAGUGGUUCCUGCUAAAGGAACCUUUUGUUAGUCGUAGAACCACUGAUGAAUAAGGGGUGGGCAAGUUCUGGUGUCAGCCGCCGCGGUAAAACCAGCACCUCAAGUGGUCAGGAUGAUUAUUGGGCCUAAAGCAUCCGUAGCCUGUUCUGUAAGUUUUCGGUUAAAUCCAUAAGCUCAACUUAUGGGCUGCCGAAAAUACUGCAGAACUAGGGAGUGGGAGAGGUAGACGGUACUCGGUAGGAAGGGGUAAAAUCCUUUGAUCUAUUGAUGACCACCUGUGGCGAAGGCGGUCUACCAGAACACGUUCGACGGUGAGGGAUGAAAGCUGGGGGAGCAAACCGGAUUAGAUACCCGGGUAGUCCCAGCUGUAAACGAUGCAAACUCGAUGAUGCGUUGGCUUGUUGCUAGCGCAGUGUCGCAGGGAAGCCGUUAAGUUUGCCGCCUGGGAAGUACGUACGCAAGUAUGAAACUUAAAGGAAUUGGCGGGGGAGCACCACAAGGGGUGAAGCCUGCGGUUCAAUUGGAGUCAACGCCUGAAACCUUACCCGGAGAGACAGCAGAAUGAAGGUCAAGCUGAAGACUUUACCAGACAAGCUGAGAGGUGGUGCAUGGCCGUCGCCAGCUCGUGCCGUGAGAUGUCCUGUUAAGUCAGGUAACGAGCGAGAUCCCUGCCUCUAGUUGCCACUAUUACACCCUGGUGUAGUAGGGCGAAUUAGGGGGACCGCCGCAGUUAAUGCGGAGGAAGGAAGGGGCCACGGCAGGUCAGUAUGCCCCGAAACUCUGGGGCCACACGCGGGCUGCAAUGGUAACGACAAUGAGUUCCGAAAUCGAAAGAUGGAGGUAAUCCCUAAACGUUACCACAGUU
This 1209-nucleotide ribosomal RNA is filed under the name marine metagenome. RNAcentral describes it as "bacterial SSU rRNA". It matches the Rfam family "Archaeal small subunit ribosomal RNA", at positions 35 to 1249 of the family's 1478-position model. The record is from RNAcentral.